AGUGAACGCUGGCGGUAGGCCUAACACAUGCAAGUCGAACGGCAGCACAGUAAGAGCUUGCUCUUACGGGUGGCGAGUGGCGGACGGGUGAGGAAUGCAUCGGAAUCUACUUUUUCGUGGGGGAUAACGUAGGGAAACUUACGCUAAUACCGCAUACGACCUACGGGGGAAAGCAGGGGAUCUUCGGACCUUGCGCGAUUGAAUGAGCCGAUGUCGGAUUAGCUAGUUGGCGGGGUAAAGGCCCACCAAGGCGACGAUCCGUAGCUGGUCUGAGAGGAUGAUCGCCCACACUGGAACUUGGACACGGUCCAGACUCCUACGGGAGGCAGCAGUGGGGAAUAUUGGACAAUGGGCGCAAGCCUUAUCCAGCCAUACCGCGUGGGUGGAGAAGGCCUUCGGGUUGUAAAGCCCUUUUGUUGGGAAAGAAAAGCAGCAGGUUAAUACCCCGCUGUUCUGACGGUACCCAAAGAAUAAGCACCGGCUAACUUCGUG
Molecule: ribosomal RNA, 492 nt
Filed under: uncultured bacterium
Lineage: Bacteria
Description: partial 16S ribosomal RNA
Rfam family: Bacterial small subunit ribosomal RNA
Source: RNAcentral